This 72-nucleotide transfer RNA is filed under the name bacterium. RNAcentral describes it as "tRNA-Pro". It matches the Rfam family "tRNA". Rfam says of the family: Transfer RNA (tRNA) molecules are approximately 80 nucleotides in length. Their secondary structure includes four short double-helical elements and three loops (D, anti-codon, and T loops). Further hydrogen bonds mediate the characteristic L-shaped molecular structure. tRNAs have two regions of fundamental functional importance: the anti-codon, which is responsible for specific mRNA codon recognition, and the 3' end, to which the tRNAs corresponding amino acid is attached (by aminoacyl-tRNA synthetases). tRNAs cope with the degeneracy of the genetic code in two manners: having more than one tRNA (with a specific anti-codon) for a particular amino acid; and 'wobble' base-pairing, i.e. permitting non-standard base-pairing at the 3rd anti-codon position. The record is from RNAcentral.
CGGGGAUUGGCGCAGUGGUAGCGCGCACGGUUCGGGACCGUGAGGCCAGCAGUUCGAGCCUGCUAUCCCCGA